Molecule: ribosomal RNA, 760 nt
Filed under: uncultured bacterium
Lineage: Bacteria
Description: bacterial SSU rRNA
Rfam family: Bacterial small subunit ribosomal RNA
Source: RNAcentral
AGAGUUUGAUCAUGGCUCAGAACGAACGCUGGCGGCAUGCCUAACACAUGCAAGUCGAACGCUUACCGGGCUUCGGUUCGGUGGGAGUGGCGCACGGGUGAGUAGCGCGUGGGAACCUGCCCUGUUGUGGGGGAUAACCGAGGGAAACUUCGGCUAAUACCGCAUGCGCCCCGGGGGAACUCGGGGGAAAGAUUUAUCGCAGCAGGAGGGGCCCGCGUCGGAUUAGCUAGUUGGUGGGGUAACGGCCCACCAAGGCUCCGAUCCGUAGCUGGUCUGAGAGGAUGAUCAGCCACACUGGGACUGAGACACGGCCCAGACUCCUACGGGAGGCAGCAGUGGGGAAUAUUGGACAAUGGGCGCAAGCCUGAUCCAGCAAUGCCGCGUGAGUGAUGAAGGCCUUAGGGUUGUAAAGCUCUUUCGCCCGCGACGAUGAUGACGGUAGCGGGAGAAGAAGCCCCGGCUAACUUCGUGCCAGCAGCCGCGGUAAUACGAAGGGGGCGAGCGUUGUUCGGAUUUACUGGGCGUAAAGGGCGCGUAGGCGGCGCGAGAAGUCAGGCGUGAAAGCCCCGGGCUCAACCUGGGAAUGGCGCUUGGGACUCUCGUGCUUGAGUUCGGGAGAGGAGAGUGGAAUUCCCAGUGUAGAGGUGAAAUUCGUAGAUAUUGGGAAGAACACCGGUGGCGAAGGCGGCUCUCUGGACCGAGACUGACGCUGAGGCGCGAAAGCGUGGGGAGCAAACAGGAUUAGAUACCCUAGUAGUCC